Molecule: ribosomal RNA, 905 nt
Filed under: Campylobacter jejuni
Lineage: Bacteria; Pseudomonadati; Campylobacterota; Epsilonproteobacteria; Campylobacterales; Campylobacteraceae
Description: bacterial LSU rRNA
Rfam family: Bacterial large subunit ribosomal RNA
Source: RNAcentral
GGGUGGGAUGAGUAUUCUAAGGCGCGUGGAAGAACUCUCUUUAAGGAACUCUGCAAAAUAGCACCGUAUCUUCGGUAUAAGGUGUGGUUAGCUUUGUAUUAGGAUUUACUCCGAAAGCAAGGAAACUUACAACAAAGAGUCCCUCCCGACUGUUUACCAAAAACACAGCACUCUGCUAACUCGUAAGAGGAUGUAUAGGGUGUGACGCCUGCCCGGUGCUCGAAGGUUAAUUGAUGGGGUUAGCAUUAGAGAAGCUCUUGAUCGAAGCCCGAGUAUACGGCGGCCGUCACUAUAACGGUCCUAAGGUAGCGAAAUUCCUUGUCGGUUAAAUACCGCCCUGCAUGAAUGGCGUAACGAGAUGGGAGCUGUCUCAAAGAGGGAUCCAGUGAAAUUGUAGUGGAGGUGAAAAUGCCUCCUACCCGCGGCAAGACGGCAAGACCCCGUGGACCUUUACUACAGCUUGACACUGCUACUUGGAUAAGAAUGUGCAGGAUAGGUGGGAGGCUUUGAGUAUAUGACGCCAGUUGUAUAUGAGCCAUUGUUGAGAUACCACUCUUUCUUAUUUGGGUAGCUAACCAGCUUGAGUUAUCCUCAAGUGGGACAAUGUCUGGUGGGUAGUUUGACUGGGGCGGUCGCCUCCCAAAUAAUAACGGAGGCUUACAAAGGUUGGCUCAGAACGGUUGGAAAUCGUUCGUAGAGUAUAAAGGUAUAAGCCAGCUUAACUGCAAGACAUACAAGUCAAGCAGAGACGAAAGUCGGUCUUAGUGAUCCGGUGGUGCUGUGUGGAAGGGCCAUCGCUCAAAGGAUAAAAGGUACCCCGGGGAUAACAGGCUGAUCUCCCCCAAGAGCUCACAUCGACGGGGAGGUUUGGCACCUCGAUGUCGGCUCAUCGCAUCCUGGGGCUG